AUACGGAGGAUCCGAGCGUUAUCCGGAUUUAUUGGGUUUAAAGGGUGCGCAGGCGGGAGAUUAAGUCGGCGGUGAAAUUUUGCAGCUCAACUGUAAAAGUGCCUUCGAAACUGGUUCCCUUGAGUGUAGAUGAAGUAGGCGGAAUUUGUGGUGUAGCGGUGAAAUGCAUAGAUAUCACGAGGAAAUCCGAUUGCGCAGGCAGCUUACUAAACUACUACUGACGCUCAGGCACGAAGGCGUGGGGAUCAAACAGGAUUAGAUACCCUGGUAGUCCACGCAGUAAACGAUGAUUACUAGCUGUUUGCGAUACAAUGUAAGCGGCUGAGCGAAAGCGUUAAGUAAUCCACCUGGGGAGUACGUUCGCAAGAAUGAAACUCAAAGGAAUUGACGGGG
Molecule: ribosomal RNA, 393 nt
Filed under: uncultured bacterium
Lineage: Bacteria
Description: partial 16S ribosomal RNA
Rfam family: Bacterial small subunit ribosomal RNA
Source: RNAcentral